UCGAGCGGCAGCAGAGAAAGUAGCUUGUUACUUUUGCCGGCGAGCGGCGAAUGGGUGAGUAAAGCCUGGGGAUCUGCGCGGUCUAGGGGGAUAACAGUUGGAAUCGACCGCUAAAACCGCAAACGCCCUACGGGGGAAAGGAUGGGACCUUCGGGCCUUUCACGAUUGUAUGAACCCUUGUGGGAUUAGCUAGUUGGUGGGUUAAUGGCUCAACAAUGCGACGAUGCCUAGAUGGGCUGAUAGGAUGAUCUGCCACUGUGAAACUGACACAACGCCCACACUCCUACGGGAGGCAGAAUUGUGGAAUAUGGCACAAUGGCUGAAACCCUGAUGCCGCCUGGCCGCGUGUGGGAAUAAGGUCGUCGGGUUGUUUAGCUCUUUAGGAGAGGAGGAAAGGUUGUAGCCGAAUACUUGGCCGUUGUGACGUUACUCACCAAAGAAUCACUCGGUGACUCCGUGCCCGCAACCGCGGAAGUAGCGAGCGUGCAU
Molecule: ribosomal RNA, 489 nt
Filed under: Aeromonadales bacterium
Lineage: Bacteria; Pseudomonadati; Pseudomonadota; Gammaproteobacteria; Aeromonadales
Description: bacterial SSU rRNA
Rfam family: Bacterial small subunit ribosomal RNA
Source: RNAcentral